CUCAAAUGCUUCCAGGGAGGGGGCAUUCAGAACCUCACUAGGCAACUUGUUCCUGUGUAUCACCGCCCUCAGAAUACCAGAAGUGGAUGCUAGUGGUGUGACAGAAGGAGCUGAACCUUCCCACCAACAUUCACUUAAACUUGGAAAUGUGAAUGAAGGAAAAGCAGUGGAAACAUCGAUGUGAAAGGCGAGCCGUGUUCCAUAUGGCCGUGCACAGUUGUCGCACAACAAAAUGAAGAGCAUCUUGAUCAGCUCAUCCUUGCAAAUCAGCUAAUGGCAUCAAUAUCACCAUUAUGUGGAAAGACAUUAAACACUGUGAAACAAGUGGAAACUUACUAGAUUAAAAAAAAAGCACAAGAUCAAGUCUGAAGAAAUAAAAGAAGCCAGAAACAAGCCUAUUUAAAAUCUAAUGAAAACUGGUGCUUUUUUCUGCUGCUAGUUGGAAGUAUGCUUGCUGUUGUUGGUUCCCUGUAGUCUGGCAAACUCACUGCAAAUAAAACUAAUUUUCUUUUGUUCCUAUGAU
This is a non-coding RNA of Meleagris gallopavo (turkey), 523 nucleotides long. Lineage: Eukaryota; Metazoa; Chordata; Aves; Galliformes; Phasianidae. The record is from RefSeq and is a predicted model, not a curated record.